Molecule: ribosomal RNA, 468 nt
Filed under: uncultured bacterium
Lineage: Bacteria
Description: partial 16S ribosomal RNA
Rfam family: Bacterial small subunit ribosomal RNA
Source: RNAcentral
GACGAACGCUGGCGGCGUGCUUAACACAUGCAAGUCGAACGGAAAGGCCCUGCUUUUGUGGGGUGCUCGAGUGGCGCACGGGUGAGUAACCCGUGAGUAACCUGCCCUUGACUUUGGGAUAACUUCAGGAAACUGGGGCUAAUACCGGCUAGGAGCUCCUGCUGCAUGGUGGGGGUUGGAAAGUUUGGGCGGUUGGGGAUGGACUCGCGGCUUAUCAGCUUGUUGGUGGGGUAGUGGCUUACCAAGGCUUUGACGGGUAGCCGGCCUGAGAGGGGGACCGGCCACAUGGGGACUGAGAUACGGCCCAGACUCCUACGGGAGGCAGCAGUGGGGAAUAUUGCACAAUGGGCGGAAGCCUGAUGCAGCAACGCCGCGUGCGGGAUGACGGCCUUCGGGUUGUAAACCGCUUUCGCCUGUGACGAAGCGUGAGUGACGGUAAUGGGUAAAGAAGCACCGGCUAACUACGUG